This 1376-nucleotide long non-coding RNA is filed under the name Homo sapiens (human). Its description in RNAcentral is "long intergenic non-protein coding RNA 1128". Lineage: Eukaryota; Metazoa; Chordata; Mammalia; Primates; Hominidae. The record is from RNAcentral.
GGCCCUGCCAGUGUCUCCGCCGGUUGAAAGCGCGUGUCUGCGUCGGGUUCUGUUGGAGUGCGUUCGGUGCGCCGUGGGUCCGCGCUGCUUCCACCCAACUUCCUGUUAGUUUCUCUCCUGUCACAAUGGCAUGAUCUCGGCUCACUGCGACCUCUGCUUCCUGGGUUCAAGGAUUCUCCUGCCUCAGCCUCCCAAGUAGCUGGGAUUACAGGAAUCUCACCAGUGACACGCGUUUGUGAAAAGCUGUGAAUAUUCAGUGCCACAGGGUUAAACCUCGGUACAGAAGCGAGACCCUGCUGGGCAGAGAAAGGGUGACCUGGAAGGUGUGUGAGGGCCCCGCCCAUGGGCCCCUGUGAUGGUCAUGGCCUCAAGAAUCACAGUCCAGGUUACAUUAGUUAUACACUCUGGAGGUGACUUGACCUGUCAUUGUGAACAAUUAUUGCUCUUGGACGACCCAGGACAUAGGCCAGCCAGUACGUACCCCAGUGUGUUGGAGAAUCGCGCUCGGCUUCUUCCUCUGUGCUGAGUCAUGAAAGUUGCCGGAGCAGGUGCAGUUACACAACCUCCAGGUAUGAUCCUGUUUAAGGACUGGAUUUAGGAUAACUACUUAGAGGUUAAAAGUCACAAGGGUGUAUGGAUGAGGCUGGAGUGAUCUGGGACCAAAGACAUCUAGGCUUGCUGUCAAGGCUUCUGAUCAACAUGAGAUGACCGCCGUGUGGUAAACUGAUGAACCCUGACCCUGAUCAACAUGAGAUGACCGCCGUGUGGUAAACUGAUGAACCCCGACCCUGAUGAACGUGAGAUGACCGCCGUGUGGUAAACUGAUGAACCCCGACCCUGAUGAACGUGAGAUGACCGCCGUGUGGUAAACUGAUGAACCCCGACCCUGAUGAACGUGAGAUGACCGCCGUGUGGUAAACUGAUGAACCCCGACCCUGAUGAACGUGAGAUGACCGCCGUGUGGUAAACUGAUGAACCCCGACCCUGAUCAACGUGAGAUGACCGCCGUGUGGUAAACUGAUGAACCCCGACCCUGAUGAACAUGAGAUGACCGCCGUGUGGUAAACUGAUGAACCCCGACCCUGAUCAACAUGAGAUGACCGCCGUGUGGUAAACUGAUGAACCCCGACCCUGAUCAACAUGAGAUGACUGCCGUGUGGUAAACUGAUGAACCCUGACCCAUUAGGCUUUGGCUACAGAAUGUGGAAAUAAGUUGUGUUACUACAUGUGUGUAAUCCUAGGGUGCAGGACACCGGCCGGGAGGUUCCAUAGAGUGAUGGGUUCUGCAGGUAACUCAUCCUCUAGUCCUCUGUAAGCUCCUAGAAGGAAGAAAUUAUGUCCUUUAGACUAAUAAAAUUCCUCCAAACCAAAUACAG